CGCGAGAGGCUCAAGCGUGUUUCAAUGUAUACACAUGAUUUGCUCAUGCGUGUUUUAAUUUAUACACGCAAUAAGCUGAUGCGUGUCUCCCUUGGAUACAAAAUUCAGUCCAGGCUGCUGCUUCAGCUUUCUGCCUCUCACAGAACGCGAAAACUGCUUUGCUUCGUAGCCCCAUUCAUCCCAACCAGCAAAAAUCGAACCCUAAUCCGACAUUUAGCUGCUCUCAUUCCAAUUUGAAGUGUUGUUAGGUGUGAUGGUGUUUGUAAGUUUAUAUUGGGAUGGGAAAAUUAUUCAGCUCCCAGGUUUAGGUGUUGCUUAUGAUCCCCCUCGUGCAAAAUCAUUUAUUAUCUUGAAUGCAAAGAUAUCUUAUUAUCAGCUAGUUUCAAUGAUAUGUGAAAAAAUUGGAAUUGAUUUAGAUGCACAUACGAUUGAUUUAACAUGGAGGCAUCCUGUGGUUUUUAGUGGAGUGGUGAAUUAUAUAGCUACACCAGUGGAUGAUAAUUUGUUGGAGUAUAUGUUUGCUGAAAAUCCACGUCAAAUUGAACUUUUUAUUGAA
Long non-coding RNA from Salvia splendens (bonfire salvia), 556 nucleotides. RefSeq lists it as uncharacterized. The record is from RefSeq and is a predicted model, not a curated record. The transcript has 2 exons. NCBI's taxonomy places the organism in Eukaryota, Viridiplantae, Streptophyta, Magnoliopsida, Lamiales, Lamiaceae.